RNAcentral lists this ribosomal RNA (585 nucleotides) under Escherichia coli. RNAcentral describes it as "partial 23S ribosomal RNA". It matches the Rfam family "Bacterial large subunit ribosomal RNA", at positions 584 to 1169 of the family's 2925-position model. Lineage: Bacteria; Pseudomonadati; Pseudomonadota; Gammaproteobacteria; Enterobacterales; Enterobacteriaceae. The record is from RNAcentral.
CUUAGGCGUGUGACUGCGUACCUUUUGUAUAAUGGGUCAGCGACUUAUAUUCUGUAGCAAGGUUAACCGAAUAGGGGAGCCGAAGGGAAACCGAGUCUUAACUGGGCGUUAAGUUGCAGGGUAUAGACCCGAAACCCGGUGAUCUAGCCAUGGGCAGGUUGAAGGUUGGGUAACACUAACUGGAGGACCGAACCGACUAAUGUUGAAAAAUUAGCGGAUGACUUGUGGCUGGGGGUGAAAGGCCAAUCAAACCGGGAGAUAGCUGGUUCUCCCCGAAAGCUAUUUAGGUAGCGCCUCGUGAAUUCAUCUCCGGGGGUAGAGCACUGUUUCGGCAAGGGGGUCAUCCCGACUUACCAACCCGAUGCAAACUGCGAAUACCGGAGAAUGUUAUCACGGGAGACACACGGCGGGUGCUAACGUCCGUCGUGAAGAGGGAAACAACCCAGACCGCCAGCUAAGGUCCCAAAGUCAUGGUUAAGUGGGAAACGAUGUGGGAAGGCCCAGACAGCCAGGAUGUUGGCUUAGAAGCAGCCAUCAUUUAAAGAAAGCGUAAUAGCUCACUGGUCGAGUCGGCCUGCGCGGAAG